RNAcentral lists this long non-coding RNA (1042 nucleotides) under Rattus norvegicus (Norway rat). RNAcentral describes it as "long non-coding RNA NONRATT008745". The record is from RNAcentral. Lineage: Eukaryota; Metazoa; Chordata; Mammalia; Rodentia; Muridae.
GCCCCUGGAGAAUUGUGGAUGACUGUGGCGGUGCCUUUACCAUGGGUACCAUAGGUGGUGGCAUCUUCCAGGCCUUCAAAGGUUUUCGAAAUUCUCCAGUGGGAGUAAACCACAGACUCCGAGGGAGUUUAACAGCUAUUAAAACCAGGGCCCCACAAUUGGGAGGCUUGUUGUUUUUUGCUUGUAUUGUUUAUAAAACAGGUAGCUUUGCAGUUUGGGGAGGCCUGUUUUCCACGAUUGACUGUGGUAUGGUUCAGAUAAGAGGCAAAGAAGACCCCUGGAACUCCAUCACUAGCGGUGCCUUAACAGGAGCCAUCCUGGCAGCAAGAAAUGGACCGGUAGCCAUGGUUGGGUCAGCUGCGAUGGGCGGCAUUCUCCUAGCUUUAAUUGAAGGAGCUGGUAUCCUGUUGACCAGGUUUGCCUCUGCACAGUUUCCUAAUGGCCCUCAGUUUGCUGAAGACCACUCCCAGUUGCCUUCAAGCCAGUUGCCGUCCUCACCAUUUGGAGACUACCGACAGUAUCAGUAGGACUUGGUCCCCAGGAUUCCUGGACCUGGGUGGACUGCAGUUUGGUAGGGUUUCAGAAGAUCAAGUUACAGUCUGUUGAAAGCCUUAGGUGGGACACCGGCGGCCAAGCAGGCCAUCAAGAGACAUUUAGCACAUUUUUCUAUUUAAAAGAGACUCAGAGUGUGGAAAAGAUACCGAGUUUAUUUAUUCAUGCUUGGAUUGCAUCUGUGAUCAAAAUAAAUGUCUAAUACCAUUUAAAGAAUGUAUAUGAACUUAGAAGAUAAAGGACCAAAGGCCACAUAACAGUGAAACUCGACUGUCCUUCCUUCGGGACUUCUCUGCCUGGUGUUUAUGUACAGUUGUUCAGACAAUAAAAGGCUUCUGGGACUUGACCUUUCCUUUAAAGUCAUAGUUCUGCCUUUCAUACUGAGCAGACUUCAGAUAGCGCAUGCUUAUGCCAAUCCGGCAGUUUACGGGAAGUGGAUUAUGUGAGGACUAUGUAAUCAGCAUGAAUCAUUACACGGGAUUGUAAGGAU